This 188-nucleotide ribosomal RNA is filed under the name uncultured Sphingobacteriales bacterium. Its description in RNAcentral is "partial 16S ribosomal RNA". It matches the Rfam family "Bacterial small subunit ribosomal RNA", at positions 1197 to 1382 of the family's 1533-position model. The record is from RNAcentral. Lineage: Bacteria; Pseudomonadati; Bacteroidota; Sphingobacteriia; Sphingobacteriales.
GGCCCUUAUGUCCAGGGCUACACACGUGUUACAAUGGUCGGUACAGAGGGCAGCUACCUGGUGACAGGAUGCUAAUCUCGAAAACCCGGUCUCAGUUCGGAUCGAAGUCUGCAACUCGACUUCGUGAAGCUGGAUUCGCUAGUAAUCGCGCAUCAGCUAUGGCGCGGUGAAUACGUUCCCGGGCCGUU